GUCGCCUGGUCACACAAAGCAUGUGCUCUACCAUUGAGCUAAAUUUAUUUCCCAAUGAUAAAUCCUACUAUAUCAUUGGGAAAUAAAUUUAGCUCAAUGGUAGAGCACAUGCUUUGUGUGACCAGGCGACAG
Podarcis lilfordi (Lilford's wall lizard) is the source of this 132-nucleotide non-coding RNA. The record is from the annotation of a GenBank genome assembly. Lineage: Eukaryota; Metazoa; Chordata; Lepidosauria; Squamata; Lacertidae.